This 238-nucleotide ribosomal RNA is filed under the name uncultured bacterium. RNAcentral describes it as "partial 16S ribosomal RNA". It matches the Rfam family "Bacterial small subunit ribosomal RNA", at positions 96 to 334 of the family's 1533-position model. The record is from RNAcentral.
CGGCGGACGGGGGAGUAACGCGUGGGUAACCUGCCUCAUACAGGGGGAUAACAGUUGGAAACGGCUGCUAAUACCGCAUAAGCGCACAGUACCGCAUGGUACGGUGUGAAAAACUCCGGUGGUAUGAGAUGGACCCGCGUCUGAUUAGGUAGUUGGUGGGGUAACGGCCUACCAAGCCGACGAUCAGUAGCCGACCUGAGAGGGUGACCGGCCACAUUGGGACUGAGACACGGCCCAA